GCAGGCAGCUGCUGGAAAGCGAGUCUUCUUUUGUUUUUCACUAUUUAAAAGUUUCCGUAAUACUUUAUGUCGAAAAAAACAUAUUAUCUUAAGUUAAAUACCUAAACUAUUGGUAAGCUAAGUACCUAAACUAUUGACUCUUUUCGCAAUGCCUGGGCCAAACAGUAACGCUGCAGCAUCUGUGAGAAAGGGCUCAAAUGUCCAGAAGGCACCUGGUGCAAAGCCAACCAAAGCUGCAAGCAAGAAAAAGGAUGAUGAAGAGGGUGUGGAGAAUGGUGAUGGAUGGGACGAGUGGUCUCAUGGAAAAGCACUCAUUAAACCUGCAGACCAACUGGAGCUCACUGAGGCUGAGCUGAAAGAGGAAAUCACAAGGAUCCUGACUGCAAACAACCCACAUGCCCCCCAAAACAUUGUCCGCUACAGCUUCAAGGAACGUUCCUACAAGCCUAUCAGUGUUGUGGAUCAGAUGGCUGUUCACUUUGUCAUGGAGGGCAGUCUCCUGCAUCAAGACUCAGAUGAGGCUCGAAGACUGAGGGCCAAGGAGGGUCUCCCUGAGGAGACUCCAACAGUCAAUGCUGGAGCAGAGCCUGAUGAGGAGAAACCAGAAACCCCGGCUACACCUGUAGAGGAUGGAGGGGAGGUGGAGGAAGCUGGGGAAGAAGACAGACCAGACAGCGUUGCCUCCAAAACAGACAAGAAGGAGCCAAAAGUUACUAACCAGUUCAACUUCAGUGAGAGGGCCUCCCAAACCCUCAAUAACCCACUGAGGGAGAGAAGUUGCCAGACAGAACCUCCUCCACGCAGCAUUUUCUCUGCCACAGCUAAUCAGUGGGAGAUCUAUGAUGCGUAUGUGGAGGAGCUGCAGAAACAAGAAAAAAACAAAGAGAAGCUGAAAGCUGUACCACCAAAGAAAGAUGGUGACAGAAGUAAGAAGAAGAUGAUGAUGAUGGAAACUCAGAGCGACGACAUCACCAAAGUGGCCAAGGCAACCAAGAUCUUUGAACGAAUGGUCAAUCAGAAUACAUUUGAUGACAUAGCUCAAGAUUUCAAAUACUUUGAGGAUGCCUCUGAUGAGUUCAGGGACCAGGAGGGCACCCUGCUUCCUUUGUGGAAGUUCCAGUAUGACAAAGCCAAAAGACUGUCUGUCACUGCCCUCUGCUGGAAUCAGAAAUAUCAGGACCUUUUUGCUGUGGGAAUGGGAUCCUAUGACUUCAGUAAACAGGGGCAUGGCAUGCUUGUCUUCUACUCAUUGAAGAAUUCUGCCUUCCCAGAGUAUAUCUACCCCACCAAUUCUAGCAUCCUGUGCCUCGACAUCCAUGAGCAGCAUUCCUACCUGGUGGUGGUAGGUUUCUACAACGGCUGUGUGGCUGUCUACAACUUGAAGGAGGAGGGACUGGAGCCUGUGUAUAAGAGUACUGCUAAGACUGGCAAACACACUGACCCUGUCUGGCAGGUACGCUGGCAGAAUGAUGACAUGGACAACAAUCACAAUUUCUAUUCUGUGUCAUCUGAUGGCCGAGUUGUGUCUUGGACACUUGUCAAGAAUGAACUGGUCUUUACAGACAUUAUCAGACUGUCACUGAAUGGUGCUGUUUUCGAAGGACUAGAAGGUACACAGCAGCCCAGCAUCGCAUGUGGUACAUCGUUUGACUUCCAUAAACAGAUCGACUAUCUCUUCCUAGUUGGCACUGAGGAGGGAAAAAUACACAAGUGCUCCAAGACUUACUCUAGCCAGUUCCUGGAGACCUAUGAUGCCCACAGCAUGGCAGUUGAUGCAGUAAAGUGGAACCACUUCCACCCGAAGGUUUUCAUCUCUUGCAGUUCAGACUGGACUGUCAAGAUCUGGGACCAUACCAUCAACACUCCCAUGUUCACCUUUGACCUGAAUGCAGCUGUUGGUGAUGUUGCCUGGUCUCCAUACUCCUCCACUGUAUUUGCUGCUGUCACUACAGAUGGAACAGUUCAUGUUUUUGACCUCAACGUCAACAAAUACGAGGCUAUCUGCCAGCAGCCAGUGGUGUCCAAAAAGAAGACCAAGCUGACUCACGUUGAGUUUAAUCCCAUUUAUCCUAUCAUCAUAGUGGGUGAUGACCGAGGCUACGUCACCAGCCUCAAACUCUCCCCUAACCUCCGGAAGAAACCCAAGGGGAAGAAGGGUCAGGAGCUGCCUAAGGGUCCAGAAGUGGAAGUAGCCAAGAUGGAGAAGCUACUCAGUCUGCUGAGGGAACCAGAGCAAAACACAGUUUAAAGCAGCCACCAUGGCUUCUCUCACCAACACAGCAAAAUGAGAGCUUCUCUGCCCUUCAUGUCUUCCCACGAACACAUGCAGCACUCUCUCCCGUCAUGUAUGGCAAGUUAACAAUUCGCUUUGCUGCUUAUUCUCGGGCUGUCAUCUUAUUUUAUGUCAGAAUCAGAAACGGAACUGAUCGAUGCUGACUUAUCUGAAUCGGCUUCUACCUCAUUGGCAACUCGGCGCAGUGCUCGGAUUGCUACUCAUCAAGGGGAAUCAGGUUCAGAAAUUCUGGAGAUGUCAAAAGCUCAGGGUAUUACUCCGGCACCUGGUCUGGAGCUCUCGCAGCUUCAUGACUUGGCUAACGAAGUGGUUUGCAAAACACCAGCUGAGGAUGAGCCCCCAUGCAACCCUUGGCCCUACAGCAGCACCUGGUCGCAAACGCACAAAGAAAACACAUCAUCUAGCUCCUCAAGCCAAGUGUAAGAAUGUCUCUGCCAGCUCUGCUCUUCCUGAUCAACCAAAUGCUGCCCUUCAUCCAUAAGAUAAUGCCCUCACAUCAACUCUCCAGUCUCUAGUAAAUGGUAUUCAUGCAAUUGAUGCUCGCCUCCAGUGUCUGGAGAAUGCCCAAACCUCAUCAUCUUCCUCUGCAGUGUUUACUGCCUCUCAAAUCCCAUUGAUUUAUAUGCCGGCACCUGCACCUCAGCCAUCCAUUUUCACCGUAAAUGCCCCAGACAUGCUACAGCAUUCCCUGGCCUCUGCUAUCUCUGCUUCUAUGCUAGGUAGGCCUUAUGUUCCCUUUGGAGCCAACAUCUCUCCUCGCUUGAGGUCGAAAAUUUAGUUUAAUGCUAGAUGUUUUGAUCCAUCUUUCCCCAGCCUAUUCUCCAAUCCAGCCAUUAAACUGUUACUUAAAGGCAUUUCAAAAGUUUCUCCUUCUAGCAUUGAUAAUAGACUCCCUAUUACUCUUUCCAUCUUGCAUAAAAUGUUUUGUCACUCUUGAGACAUGGUCAUUUAUCUCCCUCUCUCUUGGAUUGUUCUGUUUUAUUAGCUUUUCAUGGGUUUUUAAGGAGUGAUGAAAUUACCACUUCUUCAAAUUCAUUUGAUCCAGCUAAAGAUGUUGCCUUUGCAGAUUUAACUUUGCACCCAGAUUUCUUUAGUCUUUUCGUUAAACACUCUAAAGCUGGAAGUGAUUCUCAGUUCUAUCCUUUUAAAUCAAUGUGUAAAUAUUUUUUUUAAAAAAUAAGCCUUUCUCUAACCCUGGUGCCCCUCUCUUUCUGACCCCAGAUAACAAUCCCAUAUGCAAAUCUUGGUUUAGCUUUCAUUUAGAGCAGAUUCUUCUGAGAUGUAACAUACCCCUAAAGCAUUAAUCAGGUCAUCCGUUUAGAAUAGGUGCAGAAACGUCUGCAGCCAUGCAAGGUCUAUCAACGGCUUCCCUUCAACAACUGGGACAAUGGUCAUCUUCUGCCUAUGAUUCCCAUGUGCGUCACUGCAAUCAUUAAAGCUCAAAGAUCUCUAAAGCCUCAACAGCUUAUGGUAAUAGCUUUGAUGCCAAAUUCAGCACAGUCUGGAGCCACGCCAUGUCAGUCAGCGCGGCACGAGUCAGAUAACAUGACAGCAGGAAUCAUUCUGUCAUUAACAAGGAAGAAAUUAUCUAACAAGCGAAAUAUUUCCUGCAGUUACCAAGAUUAGGUCUGAGUGAGUGUUAAAUAUGUUGCUAGAAAUGAAAGUAGAGGACAACAUGAAUGAUAGACAAGUUUGUUUAUACAGUAAUUCUUCAUGUACAGCAGGAAAAUUUCCAAAAAUGUGUUUGAAGCUAAUUAACAAUUUUUCUGUUGUCAUCAAAGAACAUUGAAAUCUUGAUAAAUUUCUUUUGUCACA
Molecule: RNA transcript, 4108 nt
Organism: Thunnus maccoyii (southern bluefin tuna)
Lineage: Eukaryota; Metazoa; Chordata; Actinopteri; Scombriformes; Scombridae
Gene: dnai1.2
Gene name: dynein, axonemal, intermediate chain 1, paralog 2
Exons: 23
Source: RefSeq, a predicted model, not a curated record